RNAcentral lists this ribosomal RNA (374 nucleotides) under uncultured bacterium. RNAcentral's name for it is "bacterial SSU rRNA". It matches the Rfam family "Bacterial small subunit ribosomal RNA", at positions 28 to 402 of the family's 1533-position model. The record is from RNAcentral.
GACGAACGCUGGCGGCGUGCUUAACACAUGCAAGUCGAGCGGGUAAGGCCCUUUCGGGGGUACACGAGCGGCGAACGGGUGAGUAACACGUGGGUGACCUGCCUCUAGCUCUGGGAUAAGCCUGGGAAGCUGGGUCUAAUACCGGAUAUGACCUCGCGGUGCAUGUUGCGGGGUGGAAAGCCUUGUGCGGCUAGGGAUGGGCCCGCGGCCUAUCAGCUUGUUGGUGGGGUGANGGCCUACCAAGGCGACGACGGGUAGCCGGCCUGAGAGGGCGACCGGCCACACUGGGACUGAGACACGGCCCAGACUCCUACGGGAGGCAGCAGUGGGGAAUCUUGCGCAAUGGGCGAAAGCCUGACGCAGCGACGCCGCGU